Molecule: ribosomal RNA, 301 nt
Filed under: uncultured bacterium
Lineage: Bacteria
Description: partial 16S ribosomal RNA
Rfam family: Bacterial small subunit ribosomal RNA
Source: RNAcentral
CAGCCGCCGCGGGAAUACGUAGGUAGCAAGCGUUGUCCGGAAUUAUUGGGCGUAAAGGGCUCGCAGGCGGUUUCUUAAGUCUGAUGUGAAAGCCCCCGGCUCAACCGGGGAGGGUCAUUGGAAACUGGGAAACUUGAGUGCAGAAGAGGAGAGUGGAAUUCCACGUGUAGCGGUGAAAUGCGUAGAGAUGUGGAGGAACACCAGUGGCGAAGGCGACUCUCUGGUCUGUAACUGACGCUGAGGAGCGAAAGCGUGGGGAGCGAACAGGAUUAGAUACCCGCGUAGUCCCUGUCUCUUAUAC